AUCCACGAUCCCUCCACAUGUAUUGAAUAAGAAAGCCCAUGUCAUUGUUUUGGGUUAGGUUGCCUUGGGCCCAACCGUGGCUGCAAUACCGCCGAAGCGGCGAAGAUGAAAUCGAUAACCAUUCUCAGUCACUGAAGCUGCGGCAGAGUAAAAUGGUGAGAGUGAACUUGUUCACGUUUCAGAUAAACGGCUUCGAUGGGCAUGACCGAGUUUGUAUUGUCGUGCCUGAACAUCUGAACUGAAGAUUGUCGUCUUCACGGAGUUGCUGAAACAUUUUAGAAGUGAUGCUGAGAUAGCUACGAUCAUUGGUCAUGAGGUUGGGCAUGCGGUUGCUCGACAUUCUGCA
Prunus avium (sweet cherry) is the source of this 346-nucleotide non-coding RNA. The record is from RefSeq and is a predicted model, not a curated record. Lineage: Eukaryota; Viridiplantae; Streptophyta; Magnoliopsida; Rosales; Rosaceae.